UCCUAACCAACCAACCAGGGAGAUUUCUUCAAAUGACAGGGCAAGGCAGAAAGAGUGAGAAAGGCCGUCUUCUCAGGUACGUCACUGCCAUUGGCCGGACUACUGAUCCUUCGUCUGAUUCCUGCAUGGCCUGGCCUGGCUCCGUAUUGCGUUGCUUUAUGGAUGCCCCAUCUCCUGAAGACUGCUUCAGAACCGUCAUCUCCAUUAGAGAUUCCACAGACACUUCCCACCCUGGCAGGAUGCAGAGACUUGAUCUGAAAGUACAUGAGGACCAUCGACAGGAAGGCAGACCCAUCAUUUGGGAAUCUUGACAGAAUGCGGAUUCUGAAUCUGUCUGAGGUCUGAGGUGGGGCCGGGGAUCUGCAUUUCUAGCCAGCUCUCAGAUGACAGAGGUGCCACUUGUCUGUGGACCUUGAGUGGCAUGGCUCCAGUGGUUUGGAGAGUCAGUCUCCUGAGUGAUUACCUCAGUUUCCUCCAUUGUCAGCUUUGUGGCCUUACGCAAAUGCCUUCGCCUAUGUGUCUAUAGAGCAGGAAUACUUCUUACUUCCCAGGCUCUUGUGAAGAUGGAAAUCAUUAAUAUUUAGUGCCUUUGAUAGUGUCUGUCACUUUCUUCCUGCCUCAACCUUUCUUUCAAGCCCCCUCUGAGUCCCUCUUCGGGCCAAUCUCUGGCUUCCAGUUCUGGAUGUCCCCACCGGAAGAUAUGGUGCAGC
Acinonyx jubatus (cheetah) is the source of this 710-nucleotide long non-coding RNA. RefSeq lists it as uncharacterized. The transcript is spliced from 3 exons. The record is from RefSeq and is a predicted model, not a curated record. Lineage: Eukaryota; Metazoa; Chordata; Mammalia; Carnivora; Felidae.